GUGGUGGCAUCUCUCUGUUUCCUGGGAUCCAGGAGCCCGGUUGGGGAAUCCUUACUUCAGGAAGUGCAGCCGCGGCUCAGUGUUUUGAGAGUGCAAGUGCUUGUCAGGGUGCGUGUCUGGUUGUUUGUGCGUGGCGUCAGAGCACCUCGAGUAUGCGCGUGCGCACCGCCUUCCAGAGCUUUUGCACAGAGCUGGAAAUUGGGGGUACUCGAUUGUAGCUUUCGGGGAGUUUUCCGUGUAGCAGGAGAGAGGCAAACUAUCCAGGAUGCUUUGGGACCGGGAGCGUCAUUUAAAUCGAUGGAUGUCAGAGAGGGGCUUCUCAGAAGGCUCCGCCUGUAUGAGUUUUGAGGAGUCCGUGAAAGUUGACCCGAUGUCAUUUGUCAGAGUGAACCGCUGUGGUCCCCGAGUUGGUGUAAGAAAGACACCAAAAGUAAAGAAGAAGAAAACUUCGGUGAAACAAGAAUGGGAUAAUACUGUGACUGAUCUAACAGUUCAUCGGGCAACUCCUGAAGAUCUGGUACGCCGUCAUGAAAUACACAAAUCAAAGAAUAGAGCAUUAGUACACUGGGAACUCCAAGAAAAAGCUUUGAAGAGAAAAUGGAGGAAGCAGAAACCUGAAACUUUAAAUCUUGAGAAAAGAAGAUUGUCUAUCAUGAAGGAGAUUCUUUCUGAUCAAUACCAGAUGCAAGAUGUAUUGGAGAAAUCUGAUCAUCUAAUAGCUGCAGCAAAAGAGUUGUUUCCUCGUAGGCGCACAGGGUUUCCAAAUAUAACAGUGGCUCCUGAUUCCUCUCAGGGUCCCAUUGUGGUAAAUCAAGACCCUGUCACCCAAUCUGUCUUUAAUGAGUCUGUCAUAGAACCUCAGGCUCUUAAUGAUGUAGAUGGUCAAGAAGAAGGAACUAUUAAUAGCCAGUCAGGAGAAAGUGAGAAUGAGAAUGAGUUGGAUAACUCUCUAAACUCUCAGUCUAACACAAAUACAGACAGGUUUCUCCAGCAACUGACGGAAGAGAAUUCUGAGUUAAUUAGUAAGUUGUGGACUGAUAUUCAGCAGAAAAUAGCAACCCAGUCACAAGUAACCCCUCCAGGAACACCAUCACCUGCUCUUUCAUCAGGGGAACAAAGAGCUGCUCUGAAUGCUACCAAUGCUGUCAAGAGACUCCAAACCAGGCUUCAGCCUGAAGAAUCUACUGAGACUCUAGACUCAAGCUAUGUUGUGGGACACGUGCUGAACUCAAGGAAGCAAAAACAGCUGUUAAAUAAAGUGAAAAGAAAACCGAAUUUGCAUGCUCUUUCCAAGCCGAAGAAAAACAUGUUAUCAGGUAGCACAACUUCUGCAGACUUACCAAAUAGGACUAAUUCCAACCUGGAUGUCCUCAAACACAUGAUACAUGAAGUGGAACACGAAAUGGAAGAAUAUGAGCGGUGUACAGGUCGCGAGGUCAAGGGACUGCAGAGCAGUCAGGGUCUUACAGGCUUCACUUUGUCAUUGGUGAGCUCCCUCUGUCGCCUGGUUCGGUACCUUAAAGAGAGUGAGAUCCAGCUACGUAAAGAAGUAGAGACAAGGCAACAACUGGAACAAGUAUUAGGUGAUCAUCGAGAGCUCAUUGAUGCUCUGACAGCUGAAAUUCUUCGUCUUAGAGAAGAAAAUGCUACUACACAGGCAAGACUUCAGCAGUACAUGGUCACAACAGACGAGCAACUUAUAUCACUCACAUAUGCUAUUAAGAACUGUCCUGUGAUAAAUAACAGACAAGAAAUUCAGGCAUCAGAAAGGGGAGCCACAGGUAGAAGAAAUAUGGACAGUUCAGAGGGUCCAGCUGUAAAUGCCAAUGUCUCAGUGCCAUUGAUGUUCAGAGAGGAAGAGGUGGUUGAAUUCCCACAGGAAGAGUUGCCUGUUAAACUGUCUCAGGUGCCAGACCCUCCAGAUAACAUGACUCUGGCCAAGAAUUUUCCAGCACAUAUUUUUGAGCCAGCUGUGUUGUUAACACCACCCAGGCAGAAGAGCAACUUAAAAUUCUCUCCUCUUCAGGACGUAUUGAGAAGGACUGUUCAAACUCGUCCUGCUCCACGACUUCCUCCAACGGUGGAAAUAAUUGAGAAGGAACAAAAUUGGGAAGAGAAGACCUUACCUGUUGAUACAGAUAUUCAGAAUUCAAGUGAAGAGAAUCGUCUCUUCACUCAGAGGUGGAGAGUCUCUCAUAUGGGAGAAGAUUUGGAGAACAAAACUCAGGCUCCUUUUGUUAACCUCUCACAGCCCCUCUGCAAUUCCCAUUCCAACACUCAACAGUCAAGAAACCCCACAUUCUCAGAAGAGCUCCCAGUACUGGGAGAUGGACAGCAGCUCAGAACAAAUGAGGCAUUAAUACAAAGAAAGGACAUAAUGGCACGAAUUGCUGAUUUGACAUUGCAGAAUUCAGCUAUGAAGGCACAUACAAAUAGUAUUAUUGAGCCCAGAGGAGAGCAAGGGGAUGGAUUCCGGGAGUUGAACAAACAAGAAAGUGCAAGUGACAUGACUUCUACUUUUCCAAUAGCACAGUCUCUAGCACCAGGUAGCAUGGAGGAACGGAUUGCAGAAUUGAAUCGACAAAGUAUGGAGGCUCGUGGAAAACUACUGCAGUUGAUAGAGCAGCAGAAACUUGUUGGUUUGAAUCUUUCUCCACCAAUGUUACCUGUUCAGUUACCUCUCAGAGCAUGGACUGGUUGGUCACAAAUUCAUGAUUUAAAAACUAGAAAUAUGAAGGUUUUCACUUUUCUUGGUUUUGCAAGUUUAUAUUGAAUCAAAAGAAAUAUCAAAGCAUAUAUUUUGGUGCCUUCAAUUUUACACAGAAAGAAACAGCCCUAACUCACAGGAUAAGUGAUAGAAAUGGGAUUAGAAGGCAGAUCUCCUGAUUCUUUCUAUCCUAUGAUGCCUAUAGUUAAUCUUCGGUGUCUGAGUUCCUAAAUUAUCCUACAUCUAAAUGGGAUUCAUUAUAGUGUACGGUUCACUUAGGUCAUAUGCUGCAACUAAGCAUGAAAUAUCUGAAUGUUAAUUUAGAAUUUCAUCAGCAACAAAUUACAACUUAUUCUGUAAAACAGUUAAAGCAUUUUCACUCAUUAAUUAAAUUUUCUGUUACAUUUAGGAAUGUGAAAAGCUAGAGGGGAUUCUGAAUAAUAAAAUAGUAACUGAAAAAAUUGUCAUAGUAUUCACAUUCAAAAAGAUACUGGUGAAACGAAGUAUAUAUCAAGUUGUUUUUAUCAGAAAUUGCAUUAUUAAGGCCCUCAAGGGACAGAGCUACAUGAAGAGUACAGAGAGAUUGAUUUUGGUCCAGUAAAAGAGAAGGCUGUAAUUGUCAGGAAUAGAAAAAGCUCCGUGUACUAGUAAUUGAUGUGUUCUCUGAGAUGUUCAAACAUUGGUGUUUGAGGGGGACUCAAAUAUGUCUUAUUUCUGGUUGAAGUAGGUUACCUUUAAGGUAUCUUCCAAUAAGAGUUUUCCCCUCAGAAAUUAUUUCCUUUUUGAAAUACAGACCCAGAAAGCAGACUCUUUUGGAAAUUGCUGGAAAAAGAUAGUAAUGCAUUUCCCCAUGGCCCUCUCUCUUUGUUUAUUCUAGGCUUCCUCAAAUGACAGUUUUGUCUACUGUUCUUCAUAGUUAUGAAGCCUAAAGACAACUUCUGAUUAGAAUAAAUAAAUGAACUAACUAUGUAUGAACAUGUACUAUGUGCGUGCCAUGUGUGGGCUUGAAUACUCUAGCAUUUGAGUAGGGGAGCAGGCAACAAACAAAUCAAUAUUUGGGAUAAUAUCAGUUAGUGCUAAGUGCAAGGAAGAAAAAGCAGAUCAGCCUUAAGAAUAAUUUUGUGUUUAAAUAUACAUCUUCCAUUUCAGUAUUUCUGUAUGGUUAAAAUAUGCUUUUAUUUAUGUUAUAUAAUUUAGUCCUCAACACACCUUUAGAGUAGAUAGGGCUAAUAUUAUACCUAUUUGACAAAUAAGUAAACUGGGAGGCACAAAGAGGUUAUGUGAUUUAUCAAGUUACAAAGCAAGUUGUGGAUUUGCAACUGUGUUCUUUCCUGUCCAGUGAUUUAUUUCUAAAGUAUUCUUUUUAUAAGUAAAAUUCUUAUAUUUAUUUAAAAAAAAAAAACUUCUGUGGACUAUAAUGAUAAAAGUAAAAAUAAACCAUAUGCCAUGAAAAACCUCUUUUGUUUUCUAGGUAACUGAGGAAUGUUUUGUAAAAUUAAAUAGGGUUUUAUUACCUCGUAAAGCUAGGAAGUCACACAAAGCGAGGAGCCUCUGUGAAACUGCCUAUGAUGAACAUAAAGUCUUUCAUUAGUAAAUACUUAGUAAAUAUAUGCUGAUUGAUAACCUACUUCUGAAAUAUGGAAAAUAUUCAUAAUUAUACUUGCUAUUGGCCAUAUGGAGCUCUUCAGCCAGCUUUCCUCUCCUAUUUCAAUGUCUUCAGUAAUAGUCAUAAUGUAAUUGAUUUAAAAGAUUUAAAGUUUUGCUGAAUGACUUCAGAAAUUUUCUUUUUCCUUUUUUUGGGGAAAACUUUAGGUAAGCUCUCUUGGACAAAGAUCUCAAGUUUUUAGGGCUAGCUCUUAAUUUCUGUUUUUUACCUCCAGAGCUGACAGGAUGCCACUUGUCCGAAGAUUCUGGCUCUCUAUGAACUGGCAUGCUACUGAAUUAACACUAAAGGAGCAAAGAGAACAAUUGAGGUAUCUAUUCCAGGAGCAGAAGCCUCAGAAAGCUCAAAAUGUAGUACUGUCUCUCCUGUCAGUGGGAUAA
Cercocebus atys (sooty mangabey) is the source of this 4750-nucleotide RNA transcript. It is a transcript of the gene named spindle and centriole associated protein 1, with no coding region annotated. Lineage: Eukaryota; Metazoa; Chordata; Mammalia; Primates; Cercopithecidae. The record is from RefSeq and is a predicted model, not a curated record. The transcript is spliced from 16 exons.